UGGUGGGUAGUUUGACUGGGGCGGUCUCCUCCUAAAGAGUAACGGAGGAGCACGAAGGUUGGCUAAUCCUGGUCGGACAUCAGGAGGUUAGUGCAAUGGCAUAAGCCAGCUUGACUGCGAGCGUGACGGCGCGAGCAGGUGCGAAAGCAGGUCAUAGUGAUCCGGUGGUUCUGAAUGGAAGGGCCAUCGCUCAACGGAUAAAAGGUACUCCGGGGAUAACAGGCUGAUACCGCCCAAGAGUUCAUAUCGACGGCGGUGUUUGGCACCUCGAUGUCGGCUCAUCACAUCCUGGGGCUGAAGUAGGUCCCAAGGGUAUGGCUGUUCGCCAUUUAAAGUGGUACGCGAGCUGGGUUUAGAACGUCGUGAGACAGUUCGGUCCCUAUCUGCCGUGGGCGCUGGAGAACUGAGGGGGGCUGCUCCUAGUACGAGAGGACCGGAGUGGACGCAUCACUGGUGUUCGGGUUGUCAUGCCAAUGGCACUGCCCGGUAGCUAAAUGCGGAAGAGAUAAGUGCU
RNAcentral lists this ribosomal RNA (514 nucleotides) under Escherichia coli. RNAcentral describes it as "partial 23S ribosomal RNA". It matches the Rfam family "Bacterial large subunit ribosomal RNA", at positions 2259 to 2772 of the family's 2925-position model. The record is from RNAcentral. RNAcentral also lists the same sequence under 3 other names. Lineage: Bacteria; Pseudomonadati; Pseudomonadota; Gammaproteobacteria; Enterobacterales; Enterobacteriaceae.